RNAcentral lists this ribosomal RNA (209 nucleotides) under uncultured bacterium. RNAcentral describes it as "partial 16S ribosomal RNA". It matches the Rfam family "Bacterial small subunit ribosomal RNA", at positions 568 to 776 of the family's 1533-position model. The record is from RNAcentral.
UGCGUAGGUGGUCUACUAAGUUGGAUGUGAAACCCCCGGGCUUAACUUGGGAACUGCAUCCAAUACUGGCGGACUAGAGUGCAGGAGAGGGAAGCGGAAUUCCUAGUGUAGCGGUGAAAUGCGUAGAUAUUAGGAGGAACACCAGUGGCGAAGGCGGCUUUCUGGACUGUAACUGACACUGAGGCACGAAAGCGUGGGGAGCAAAACAG